This 464-nucleotide ribosomal RNA is filed under the name uncultured Anaerolineaceae bacterium. RNAcentral's name for it is "bacterial SSU rRNA". It matches the Rfam family "Bacterial small subunit ribosomal RNA", at positions 901 to 1382 of the family's 1533-position model. The record is from RNAcentral. Lineage: Bacteria; Bacillati; Chloroflexota; Anaerolineae; Anaerolineales; Anaerolineaceae.
UCAAAUGAAUUGACGGGGCCCGCACAAGCAGCGGAGCGUGUGGUUAAUUCGAGGCAACACGAAGAACCUUACCUGGGCUUGACAUGUUGUGGUAGUGAAGCGAAAGCGGAUCGACCCUUCGGGGAGCGUUCACAGGUGCUGCAUGGCUGUCGUCAGCUCGUGCCGUGAGGUGUUCGGUUAAGUCCGGUAACGAGCGCAACCCUUGCUGUUAGUUACAAGUGUCUAACGGGACUGCCGGUUUAAUACCGGAGGAAGGUGGGGAUGACGUCAAGUCAGCAUGGCCUCUAUGUCCAGGGCUACACACACGCUACAAUGGCCGGUACAGUGGGUUGCCAAACCGCGAGGUGGAGCUAAUCCUCAAAGCCGGUCUCAGUUCGGAUUGAAGUCUGCAACUCGACUUCAUGAAGGCGGAAUCGCUAGUAACCGCGAAUCAGCAGGUCGCGGUGAAUACGUUCCCGGGCCUU